CCUACGGGAGGCAGCAGUGGGGAAUUUUGGACAAUGGGGGCAACCCUGAUCCAGCCAUUCCGCGUGAGUGAAGGAGGCCUUCGGGUUGUAAAGCUCUUUCGGCAGGAACGAAACGGUGGUCUUUAAUACGGGCUACUAAUGACGGUACCUGAAGAAGAAGCACCGGCUAACUACGUGCCAGCAGCCGCGGUAAU
This 194-nucleotide ribosomal RNA is filed under the name uncultured bacterium. RNAcentral's name for it is "partial 16S ribosomal RNA". It matches the Rfam family "Bacterial small subunit ribosomal RNA", at positions 338 to 524 of the family's 1533-position model. The record is from RNAcentral.